GAUUGUGUGCAGAUCAAGCGUAGUUGGUACCGCUCCCGACUGCUGAUCCCUCUAGUAUCAGACGAGCUUUCGAAGAUUUUGAUGUAGUUGUUGAUUGGCCGUUUAUUUCACCAUUUUAGUGAAGCUAAGUUCUGUCAUUCGGAAGGCAAAGCAAAAGCAGAACUAGAGAAGGAAAGGUUCUCUAGAAAAGGGAGAUAUCACGUGAUAGAGAGAGAGAGUUGAGAGAUUUUGUGGGUUUAUUUGACCAAACUUAAAUGAGGGUUAUUUUGGUCAUGAUGAAGGUAUUCUAGAGGAUUCCUGGACUUGGGCUAGCGAAUUGGGCUUUCACAUUGGGUUAGAUGGG
Molecule: long non-coding RNA, 343 nt
Filed under: Nicotiana benthamiana
Lineage: Eukaryota; Viridiplantae; Streptophyta; Magnoliopsida; Solanales; Solanaceae
Description: long non-coding RNA (NBEN_LNC018549)
Source: RNAcentral